GAUGAACGCUGGCGGCGUGCCUAAUACAUGCAAGUCGAGCGAACAGACGAGGAGCUUGCUCCUCUGACGUUAGCGGCGGACGGGUGAGUAACACGUGGAUAACCUACCUAUAAGACUGGGAUAACUUCGGGAAACCGGAGCUAAUACCGGAUAAUAUAUUGAACCGCAUGGUUCAAUAGUGAAAGACGGUUUUGCUGUCACUUAUAGAUGGAUCCGCGCCGCAUUAGCUAGUUGGUAAGGUAACGGCUUACCAAGGAAACGAUGCGUAGCCGACCUGAUAGCGUGUUCGGCCUCACUGGAACUGGGCCACGGUCCAGACUCCUACGGGAGGCACCAGUAGGGAAUCUUCCGCAAUGGGCGAAAGCCUGACGGAGCAACGCCGCGUGAGUGAUGAAGGUCUUCGGGUCGUAAAACUCUGUUAUUAGGGAAGAACAAAUGUGUAAGUAACUAUGCACGUCUUGACGGUACCUAAUCAGAAAGCCACGGCUAACUACGUG
This 497-nucleotide ribosomal RNA is filed under the name uncultured bacterium. Its description in RNAcentral is "partial 16S ribosomal RNA". It matches the Rfam family "Bacterial small subunit ribosomal RNA", at positions 28 to 507 of the family's 1533-position model. The record is from RNAcentral.